This 253-nucleotide ribosomal RNA is filed under the name uncultured bacterium. Its description in RNAcentral is "partial 16S ribosomal RNA". It matches the Rfam family "Bacterial small subunit ribosomal RNA", at positions 524 to 776 of the family's 1533-position model. The record is from RNAcentral.
UACGGAGGAGGCAAGCGUUAUCCGGAAUUAUUGGGCGUAAAGCGUCCGUAGGUGGUUCACCAAGUCUGCUGUCAAAGGGUGGGGCUUAACCUCAUAAAGGCAGUGGAAACUGGUGAGCUAGAGUGCGGUAGGGGUAAGGGGAAUUCCCAGUGUAGCGGUGAAAUGCGUAGAUAUUGGGAAGAACAUCGGUGGCGAAAGCGCCUUACUGGGCCUGCACUGACACUGAGGGACGAAAGAUAGGGGAGCGAAAGGG